RNAcentral lists this long non-coding RNA (609 nucleotides) under Olea europaea (common olive). Its description in RNAcentral is "long non-coding RNA (OEUR_LNC002666)". Lineage: Eukaryota; Viridiplantae; Streptophyta; Magnoliopsida; Lamiales; Oleaceae. The record is from RNAcentral.
GCCAUGCUAAUUAAAUAGUGUUUAUAGCCUCUUCAAGAAAAACAAUAUUUAUACUAAGUAUGAUGGGCACAAAUGAUCGAAAAGUCUUCGGAUCUCCUCCAUUUUAGUAGACACCCAAACCAAAGAAGUAUAGCAUAUUGCAUGCAUCGGUGGCACCUGGAGCUAUUUCCAAUGUAAAAUGGGGAAAAAGGGUAUCCCAUUAAGUUAUUCUCCAGUAUUAUGCAAAAAGAUCAAACUAUAUGGUUUUCCGUGCGUAACUUAUAUUUCCUUUAAUGUUGGACGCCACAAGAAAGAUGCAAACACAGUAAAAAUAUCAUGCACGAGGAUACGAGUUCCUUGGUUUAAAAUUGGAAAAUUUACAGAAUCCAAAACAUUGAUGAACAACCUGUGUUUAUAUACGAACAAUUCAUGAUUAGUGGAGAAGGUUUUAUCUUGAGAUCCAUCACUCUAUAGGUGUCUAAAAACUCGGAACAUGAAAACGUCUUCAAGAAAUGCAAAAUCACCAUACUACCAUAGUUUUAAUACCAAAUUUAGGACCAGCUACAUAAUCUUUUUCCGUCAUUUCGUUCAAAUCUAAGCUAAUUUCUUCCAAAUGGUCAACGAAACUCG